RNAcentral lists this unclassified non-coding RNA (508 nucleotides) under uncultured Glomus. RNAcentral describes it as "SSU rRNA". It matches the Rfam family "Eukaryotic small subunit ribosomal RNA", at positions 569 to 1075 of the family's 1831-position model. The record is from RNAcentral. Lineage: Eukaryota; Fungi; Glomeromycota; Glomeromycetes; Glomerales; Glomeraceae.
AGCAGCCGCGGUAAUUCCAGCUCCAAUAGCGUAUAUUAAAGUUGUUGCAGUUAAAAAGCUCGUAGUUGAAUUUCGGGAUUGACGUGAUGGUCGUGCCUUAAGGGGUAUGAACUGUUGCUGUUGAUUUCUCACCUUCUGGAGAAACUUGAUGUCCUUAAUUGGGUGUCUUGCGGAUCCAGGACCUUUACCUUGAAAAAAUUAGAGUGUUUAAAGCAGGCAUUUUGCUCGAAUACAUUAGCAUGGAAUAAUAGAAUAGGACGGCAUGGUUCUAUUUUGUUGGUUUCUAGGAUCACCGUAAUGAUUAAUAGGGAUAGUUGGGGGCAUUAGUAUUCAAUUGUCAGAGGUGAAAUUCUUGGAUUUAUUGAAGACUAACUACUGCGAAAGCAUUUGCCAAGGAUGUUUUCAUUAAUCAAGAACGAAAGUUAGGGGAUCGAAGACGAUCAGAUACCGUCGUAGUCUUAACCAUAAACUAUGCCGACUAGGAAUCAGACGAUGUUAAUUUUUUAAU